RNAcentral lists this ribosomal RNA (253 nucleotides) under uncultured bacterium. Its description in RNAcentral is "partial 16S ribosomal RNA". It matches the Rfam family "Bacterial small subunit ribosomal RNA", at positions 524 to 776 of the family's 1533-position model. The record is from RNAcentral.
UACGAAGGGUGCAAGCGUCAGUCGGAAUCACUGGGCUUAAAGAGUCCGUAGGCGGCAUGUUAGGUGAGGUGUGAAAUCCCCCGGCUCAACCGAGGAAUUGCGCUUCAAACCGGCGUGCUUGAGGAAGAUAGAGGUGGGCGGAACUGAUGGUGGAGCGGUGAAAUGCGUUGAUAUCAUCAGGAACACCGGAGGCGAAGGCGGCCCACUGGGUCUUUUCUGACGCUGAGGGACGAAAGCUAGGGGAGCGAACGGG